Molecule: long non-coding RNA, 1046 nt
Organism: Helicoverpa zea (corn earworm)
Lineage: Eukaryota; Metazoa; Arthropoda; Insecta; Lepidoptera; Noctuidae
Exons: 3
Source: RefSeq, a predicted model, not a curated record
AAAACGUACAAUACGGCUGAAAAUGCAUCCAUCAACCUACCCUAACGUGUCCUUCACAACUUCCUUCCGUCUAAACUGGAAGAUAUGCGCAACGCCCUAGCAACGCGACUGCGUCUGUCUAAUAAUACACUCGUUCUAUGUAUAGUGGUUCCUAAGAUUAGCGCGUUCAAGCAAACAAACAAACAAACUUUUCAGCUUAAAAUAUUAGUAGAGAUUAUAAUGCUGAAGAAUUUGUUUUCUUGAACGCGCUUAUUGAAAGGACUACAGGAUAAAUUGAAGAAAUUGUUUCAGUGUCAGAUAGGAAUCUUAUCAAUGGAUGCUACAUUUCUUUUUAUCCGGGUGCGAAGAAAACAUCGUGUAGUCUGGUUUCGUUCCCGGUUGUGGGAAUAAGGUUACCCAGAGGAUAAAAUGUGGAAGUGCUAAUGGAAGGUUCACCUCUACCUAACCCUUGGGAAAAUAGGCAUUAUGUUUUGACCUUGUAAACAUAAAGAAACCUUUAUUGUUGUGUAUAUUGAAGGCUGGUAAAAAUGGAUAUAAAGGGCGGGCCAGCUUUGUAUGUUAUUUUAAUUUCCGCUUAAUACCCAUUCAGGCUGUCCGCAAAAUUACGAGCAUUUGGACUCGUGCCAAAAUUUUGCAAACUUAAUAAAAAUAAACUUUUUUGGAAUAAGUUUCAACUUUAUGGAUUUGGUACGCCUGAGUAAAUUUCCAAGUUUCCUGUUCACUACCUAUACGAGUCGAGUUGUCAAUACCUGUUAAAAGUCCAUUCGCAGUAUUGACUCACUCAUGUGGUAUUGACAAUCAUAACUGGCUAACGGACAAUUUCCAAGCAAUACUUAGGUACGUAAGUAGUUAUUAGCAAGUAGGUAAUACUUGCUUUAUAAACUUAUUUGAAAACUUGAAAGACGCUUCAUUGUGUAUUUUCAAUUUAAUUCACUUUUUACCGUCCAUUUGAUAGACAAUGUACCUAGUCAAAUACUUAUUUUUCAAACAUCAAAAUUAAACCGACUUCCAAAAACACUAAAAAGCAAAAAAAAAAAAUAAUUUUA